AAACCCCAUACCCGAAACCCCAAACCCCAAUCCCCAAACCCGAAACCCGAAAGCCCAAACCCGAAACCCAAAACCCAAACCCCCAUCUUUAAUUUUCUACUUCAUAUAUUCCAAACCCCAUAUUUAAUUUUAAGUUUCGUCGUUAUUCCUAAACCCCAACCCCAAAACCCAAAACCCGAAAGCCCAAACCCGAAACCCGAAACCCCAACCCCGAAACCCGAAACCUCAUACCCGAAACCCCAAACCCCAACCC
Molecule: long non-coding RNA, 253 nt
Filed under: Brassica napus (rape)
Lineage: Eukaryota; Viridiplantae; Streptophyta; Magnoliopsida; Brassicales; Brassicaceae
Description: long non-coding RNA (BNAP_LNC009414)
Source: RNAcentral